AAGGGUCAGUGGCUGGGCUGAGCUCCUGCGAGUUCAGAGGGGUUUUGUGGUGUAAAAUCCCAUCUCCCAACUCAGCAGGGCAGAAAUGAGAAUGAAAUCACCUAAAAAUAGCUGAGAAUUUUCAAGUGUCAGCUGUAACAUAAAGAGGAAUGGCUGUCUCUCCUUACAGAGCCAGGAUGGAUGGAGUGAGCUUGUCAUUCAGGAUCAAGACAGAGAGAGCUUACACACAAAUUGUAGAUGGAACACCCAUGCAGUGCUCCCUGUAACCCAAACAUGAAGCAGCAGCAGAGUAUCAAGUCACCAAGCAGUGCUGUAUCCCACGUGCCACGGGAAAAGCAUCCCACGGGUCACAGGUUGCCAUCCUGUAAAGAGCCAGGCUGUUUAUGGAGUAAAAGGCUUCAGUAUAGA
Pipra filicauda (Wire-tailed manakin) is the source of this 408-nucleotide long non-coding RNA. RefSeq lists it as uncharacterized. The record is from RefSeq and is a predicted model, not a curated record. The transcript has 3 exons. Lineage: Eukaryota; Metazoa; Chordata; Aves; Passeriformes; Pipridae.